GAAACUUUGGUGAAUAUAUUAAUGUAACAUCCCUUUUGAUUUGUAUAUAUAUUUCUAGUUGAUCAUAUAAAUUCAUUUAAAGCAUAACAGACAAGUUAAAAGAGCAACGGGCGUAUCAUGCGCUAAAGCGCAGCCCUUUAUUCUAAUCCGAAAUCAAAUAGAUUAUACAUAGCAAUUGUAUACUCCAAUCAGGAUUAAAAGGGGG
RNAcentral lists this long non-coding RNA (205 nucleotides) under Mytilus galloprovincialis (Mediterranean mussel). The record is from RNAcentral. Lineage: Eukaryota; Metazoa; Mollusca; Bivalvia; Mytilida; Mytilidae.